CUGCCGCUGGGCGGCGGCGCGCUGAUCGCGCGGGGCCUUCAGCCCGGCCCGGACGUGGCGAAGGCGCUGGCCGAGGUUCAGGACAUCUGGGUGGCGGA
This 98-nucleotide transfer RNA is filed under the name Sphingobium fuliginis. RNAcentral describes it as "tRNA-Glu". Lineage: Bacteria; Pseudomonadati; Pseudomonadota; Alphaproteobacteria; Sphingomonadales; Sphingobiaceae. The record is from RNAcentral.